RNAcentral lists this ribosomal RNA (445 nucleotides) under uncultured bacterium. RNAcentral describes it as "partial 16S ribosomal RNA". It matches the Rfam family "Bacterial small subunit ribosomal RNA", at positions 354 to 796 of the family's 1533-position model. The record is from RNAcentral.
GUGAGGAAUAUUGGACAAUGGGCGCAAGCCUGAUCCAGCCAUGCCGCGUGCAGGAAGACGCAUCUAUGGUGUGUAAACUGCUUUUGUACGGGAAGAAACACUCCCUCGUGAGGGAGCUUGACGGUACCGUAAGAAUAAGGAUCGGCUAACUCCGUGCCAGCAGCCGCGGUAAUACGGAGGAUCCAAGCGUUAUCCGGAAUCAUUGGGUUUAAAGGGUACGUAGGCGGUUUAAUAAGUCAGUGGUGAAAGCCCAUCGCUCAACGAUGGAACGGCCAUUGAUACUGUUAGACUUGAAUUACAAGGAAGUAACUAGAAUAUGUAGUGUAGCGGUGAAAUGCUUAGAUAUUACAUGGAAUACCAAUUGCGAAGGCAGGUUACUACUUGUGGAUUGACGCUGAUGGACGAAAGCGUGGGGAGCGAACAGGAUUAGAAACCCUAGUAGUCC